Molecule: unclassified non-coding RNA, 214 nt
Filed under: Hevea brasiliensis (rubber tree)
Lineage: Eukaryota; Viridiplantae; Streptophyta; Magnoliopsida; Malpighiales; Euphorbiaceae
Source: RNAcentral
UGGCAAGUUGGGAGUAGGUGACAAGACUAUGACCAUCGCCACUCAGGUCAAUGAACAUGAAUGUGUGGCGUGUGUACCAUAUGAUGAAUACACCUACUGUUGCCAAUCCAACAUAAAAUCCAAUCACCAGGUAGCGAAAUAAAAUCCAAGGUGUUAUCAAUGAGUCAUCACUUUUUCUGGGAGGUUUCUUCAUUAUAUCUGUGUCUGGGGGAUU